Molecule: long non-coding RNA, 601 nt
Filed under: Musa acuminata (dwarf banana)
Lineage: Eukaryota; Viridiplantae; Streptophyta; Magnoliopsida; Zingiberales; Musaceae
Description: long non-coding RNA (MACU_LNC009056)
Source: RNAcentral
AUUAACUACCAAGCAAAGUUGAGAUCAAAUACUGCUGGCUAUGUUGUCGUCUAAGUAGAGUUGAGAUUCACAGUCAUGUCAAGAAAGUUAUGAAAGGCAUGCAUGGCAGGUGUGUCGAUGAUUGAGUUGCGAAAAGGAAGGAGGCUAAGAGUCGUAUAUGUCACACUCUUGAUGUGUGUGGUAUUGUGUCAUAUAUCACUACUCUCCAGUAAGUCUUAAUACCUGCUAUCCUACUCAUGUGAACCCACGGAGCCCUCUCUCUCUCUCUCUCUCUCUCUCUCUCACCUCAUCCCCCCACUCCUAGAAGUUGGUCAUUGGUCUCCCUUUUCCCUUUAGUACAUGGGAGAUAAGUUGUCACAAUUGUCAUGUUUACUUAAUUAUAAUUCCCACUCAACUCCCACUGCCACUUUAUUUCUCUCACUCAUUCUUUCCUUCUUUCCUUUACUGACAAUCAUAGGCACCACCUCUCUCUCUCUCUCUCCCUCUGUCUCUCUCUAGCAAUAUAAAGAAGAGGCGGUGGAGGAGGUAGAUAGCCAAGCGAGCAUGAACAUGAAUCCACAAGAUAUAUGUGACAGUGGCCUCUCUCUGGGGCUGGGCAUUG